UAUACGUAGGGCACCACGUACGUCACCGUCGGAAACAUUAGCCGUGAUCAGACGAGAUUUAGUAGAGAGGCUUUUCUUCUUCGUGGUAGGGGUAGGAAGCUGAUAAUUAUUUAAGUUAUCUUUAAUACUUGUAGUCAGAGUCUUCAAAGCUUUUUUAUUGGAUUUAUCCGGGACCCGUAGAGCAAUGUACGGAAAAAGGAAAAGAUCAUGCCAACUUUCAAUGGUAUUAUGAGAGAGGCAACGCUCAAUAAUGUUAGAUAGUUUUGCAGCGACAGAAAAACGGACUCCUUUAGGAAUUCUACGAAGUAUUUGAAUGUUAUUUUUGCAGUGGGUUAAUUUAGACGGAAAUGAGUCUACUGGCUGCGAAAAAUUAUCACGCAUAUCAAGAGAAUGAUUGGGAUGAGCCCUAUGAUUUUAGACUUAAAAAAUUUAACUUGAGUAGUAUUAGUUAUGGUCUUGAAACUUAAAGAAUUUGGCGGUAUUUUAGUCUAUUUAGAGGAAUCUGUUCCGUAAUCGAUAAUCCACGUUGGACCUUACUUAAUCUAUUAGUAUGUAUACCGCCGUUUAUUGAAAAUCUUAUUAGGGUAAAUUUUCUUGAUAUAAAAUUAUGUAGAAUUUCAGGUCAAGGUGCAGCUUAUGAUUAAGGGGAAAUGGAUUACAAUAUUAUUAGGUAUAUGGAUUUUAAAUUGAAAAAUUUAUUUGAAAGUGGAUUUAAUAGUAAUUAUUAGAAUAUUAUAAUUUUGAUAUUAGCUCUAAAAUGUGUACACAUCGCCCGUCGCUCUCGUUAUUUAAAAUGAGAUAAGUCGUAACAAAGUAGGUGUACCGGAAGGUGUAGCUAGAAUGAU
This 845-nucleotide ribosomal RNA is filed under the name Epilampra maya. RNAcentral describes it as "12S ribosomal RNA". The record is from RNAcentral. Lineage: Eukaryota; Metazoa; Arthropoda; Insecta; Blattodea; Blaberidae.